AAGGGGUUAUUUUAAAUUUAUAGAAAGUUGUCAUGUCAUGACAGAAGUGUUAUAGGACACCUCUUG
Molecule: transfer RNA, 66 nt
Filed under: Labidura japonica
Lineage: Eukaryota; Metazoa; Arthropoda; Insecta; Dermaptera; Labiduridae
Description: tRNA-Asp
Source: RNAcentral